GAUCUGCUGAGCGGCAGGUGCAGGCAGUGGAAGCAGUAGCUGCUGUCCAGUCGGUAGCCGACUUGCGGAUCCAGCAAGAGCCAGCGGCUGCGCUUCGGCUGCUGCAGAGUUGGGGUCUUGCUCUGUCGCUCAGGCUGGAGUGCAGUGGCAUGAUCAUGGGUCACUGCAGCCUUGAACUCCUGGGCUUAAGGGAUCUUCUCAUCUCAGUCUCCUAAAUAGCUGGGACUACAGGCUCAGGCCACCAUGCCUGGCUAUUUAUUAAACUAAUCCACGUUCUGAACAGUUAUUGCUACUGGAAACCAGUCCCGAUCCAGACCACAAAAGACGAUUCUUGGAUCUUGCACAAGAAAGAAAGGGAAGAUCUGGCAAGAGUUAGCGUGCAGUUCUACAUUGUGACAAUUCAUGAGAGCUAAGGACUGGCUGUCUCUUGGGACAAAUAGGCUUUCUUGAGUCUGGUAAGUGCUCCACUUGAUGCUUGCUUCCAUUUCUUAGAUUAGGUUCUACUGUGGUAAGGCCUCAAAAUCUCAGUGUCUUGCAGCAACACUGGUUCAUUUCCUGCUCACAUUACAUUUGGUCUAUGACGGUGACAAGUUCCAGGAUCCAGACUGAAGGAGCCACCCCCAUUUGGAAUAUGCUGUUCUUGUUGCAAACUGGGGGAAAAAGGCCAGAUAAGGAAUGGCUUUUAAUGCUUCCUCUCAGACUGUGUUAUGGUUUUUUUCUCACAUUCUAUUAGCCAAAGUAAAUCAGUGGCCAAGCUGACCUCAAUGGGACAAGUAAAUAUAAUUCUUCCAAAUGGAAGUCCUGCAAGUCAUAGGUCAAUGGUGAGGAUAUAUAAAACACUUACAGGAAGGGCCCUAAUAAUUGGGAGCAAAAACACAAUCCAUCGCAUUCAUUUAUACUCUUUCUAAGCUUUUGGCAUUUGGGUUUGGAAAUCUAAUUUAUUUAGGAGUCUUCUUCAACACCUUCUAGUGAUGAGAUUUCUUUAACCCAGUUUUCAGUUUCCUUUCUUUAAAAUUAUAAUGAGAUGUGAUGUGCGUUGAAGAAACCCCAGAAGUGAGAAACUCUCAUCACUACAAUGGUGAUGUAGACAGUGGAAAACUGUUCCCAGUUGCCUCUAAGUCCAUCGUGCUAUACUGCUGGAAUCAGGUAUCAUACAUAAUCUUUCUGCUGAGAAUUGAUAGGUCCAGCUUGUUCUACAUCCAAAUAAUAAUUCAACCAAUGAUUUGUGAGCACCUACCGGGCACUGUGCCAAGUGUGGAAGACACAACCUUCAGUAACUCAAGUUUCCCUUCAGGAACUGACAGCUUAAUUUGGAAACAAAUAAAUUAAGAAGGCAAUUGCAUUAUGGAGUGUCAAGUGGAUGAUAGUAGUAAGCAAAGGGUGUUAUAAGGGUACAUAAGAGGGGUACCUAACUCAGGGUUGAGGUUCUGGAAAGGUUUUCCAGAGCAAGCAAUGAGACCUAAAGGAUGAGUAGACAAGUCACGGGAGAAGUAAGAACAUUUUAAGCAGAGAAAACAGCAUGAGCAAUGGUCUGAUAUCAAGAAAGGCAGAGAUAGUGCAAGAAUACACAAUGUAGUAGUUUUCAAAACUGUUUGAAAUUUUAAUCUCACAUUUGUUCUUUUCAAUGUCUAGGAUAUCAAUUCAUUCUGCGAUUUACCUUUGUAAAGAUGAAUUUAGCCCUGGUUCUCUAUAUGAAUACUAGAGGAAGUAUAUUGAUAAAAGAAAAGGAACAAAUAUGUAGUCAUUUCUAAGAUUUAUUUUUAU
Molecule: long non-coding RNA, 1764 nt
Filed under: Homo sapiens (human)
Lineage: Eukaryota; Metazoa; Chordata; Mammalia; Primates; Hominidae
Description: PREDICTED lncRNA (TCONS_00203153)
Source: RNAcentral